GGUGUCGUGGCCGAGAGGCUAGGCAACGGUCUGCAACACCGUGUACAUCGGUUCGAAUCCGAUCGACACCUCUA
RNAcentral lists this transfer RNA (74 nucleotides) under Flavobacteriaceae bacterium. RNAcentral's name for it is "tRNA-Cys". It matches the Rfam family "tRNA". From Rfam's summary of the family: Transfer RNA (tRNA) molecules are approximately 80 nucleotides in length. Their secondary structure includes four short double-helical elements and three loops (D, anti-codon, and T loops). Lineage: Bacteria; Pseudomonadati; Bacteroidota; Flavobacteriia; Flavobacteriales; Flavobacteriaceae. The record is from RNAcentral.